GACGAACGCUGGCGGCGUGCUUAACACAUGCAAGUCGAACGGAAAGGCCCUGCUUUUGUGGGGUGCUCGAGUGGCGAACGGGUGAGUAACACGUGAGUAACCUGCCCUUGACUUUGGGAUAACUUCAGGAAACUGGGGCUAAUACCGGAUAGGAGCUCCUGCUGCAUGGUGGGGGUUGGAAAGUUUCGGCGGUUGGGGAUGGACUCGCGGCUUAUCAGCUUGUUGGUGGGGUAGUGGCUUACCAAGGCUUUGACGGGUAGCCGGCCUGAGAGGGUGACCGGCCACAUUGGGACUGAGAUACGGCCCAGACUCCUACGGGAGGCAGCAGUGGGGAAUAUUGCACAAUGGGCGGAAGCCUGAUGCAGCAACGCCGCGUGCGGGAUGACGGCCUUCGGGUUGUAAGCCGCUUUCGCCUGUGACGAAGCGUGAGUGACGGUAAUGGGUAAAGAAGCACCGGCUAACUACGUGCCAGCAGCCGCGGUGAUACGUAGGGUGCGAGCGUUGUCCGGAUUUAUUGGGCGUAAAGGGCUCGUAGGUGGUUGAUCGCGUCGGAAGUGUAAUCUUGGGGCUUAACCCUGAGCGUGCUUUCGAUACGGGUUGACUUGAGGAAGGUAGGGGAGAAUGGAAUUCCUGGUGGAGCGGUGGAAUGCGCAGAUAUCAGGAGGAACACCAGUGGCGAAGGCGGUUCUCUGGGCCUUUCCUGACGCUGAGGAGCGAAAGCGUGGGGAGCGAACAGGCUUAGAUACCCUGGUAGUCCACGCUGUAAACGGUGGGUACUAGGUGUGGGGUCCAUUCCACGGGUUCCGUGCCGUAGCUAACGCUUUAAGUACCCCGCCUGGGGAGUACGGCCGCAAGGCUAAAACUCAAAGGAAUUGACGGGGCCCCGCACAAGCGGCGGAGCAUGCGGAUUAAUUCGAUGCAACGCGUAGAACCUUACCUGGGUUUGACAUGGAUCGGGAGUGCUCAGAGAUGGGUGUGCCUCUUUUGGGGUCGGUUCACAGGUGGUGCAUGGCUGUCGUCAGCUCGUGUCGUGAGAUGUUGGGUUAAGUCCCGCAACGAGCGCAACCCUUGUUCACUGUUGCCAGCACGUUAUGGUGGGGACUCAGUGGAGACCGCCGGGGUCAACUCGGAGGAAGGUGGGGAUGACGUCAAGUCAUCAUGCCCCUUAUGUCCAGGGCUUCACGCAUGCUACAAUGGCUGGUACAGAGAGUGGCGAGCCUGUGAGGGUGAGCGAAUCUCGGAAAGUCGGUCUCAGUUCGGAUUGGGGUCUGCAACUCGACCUCAUGAAGUCGGAGUCGCUAGUAAUCGCAGAUCAGCAACGCUGCGGUGAAUACGUUCCCGGGGCU
This 1346-nucleotide ribosomal RNA is filed under the name uncultured bacterium. Its description in RNAcentral is "partial 16S ribosomal RNA". It matches the Rfam family "Bacterial small subunit ribosomal RNA", at positions 28 to 1381 of the family's 1533-position model. The record is from RNAcentral.